Rhinopithecus bieti (black snub-nosed monkey) is the source of this 119-nucleotide ribosomal RNA. NCBI's taxonomy places the organism in Eukaryota, Metazoa, Chordata, Mammalia, Primates, Cercopithecidae. The record is from Ensembl.
GUCUAUGGCCAUACCACCCUGAACGCACCUGAUCUUGUCUGAUCUCGGAAGUGAAGCACGGUCAGGCCUGGUUAGUACAUGGAUGGGAGACCACCUGGGAAUACCAGGUGCUGUAGGCC